UUUGCAGCGGUGAUAUUUGUCUUUUUGAGCUGUACAAGCAUACACACGAUAACACUGUGUUGUUGCAAAACCAAAUCUAGAAAGGAUAUACAUGUUUGGGAUUUCGUUAUGGGAAAGAGAAAAUAAAUAUUCACCUCUCAUCGUGCCAAAGUUUCACGAGAUUUAGAGGAGCUAUUUGGCUCCAUCCUUUCCUUUCACCAUUGCUACCUCUCUCUCUCUCUCUCUCUCUCUCUUCACUUCUCUGCUCAAAUGGAGGCUAAGGUUUUUUGAUGGGGUUAAAAGGGCACCUUUUAUAUGGGGUUCUGGGUGACUUUGGGCCAUUAGAUCCCAAGAUCAAUUUUUAGUCAUUCAAUUUUUCAGGGUGUUAUAAUUCUCCUCCCCUUAAAUAAAAUUUGGUCCUUGACAUUUGUAUUUACUAAGGAUUUGAAAAACAAAUAUAUUUAUCUACUUCCAAAUGGCCUCUUCAAUAGAAUGGUAUUGUGUAACAUUUUUACUAGUGGGACCACUAACUAUAUACUCCUAAAUUAUUCUAACAUCUUCUCAAACUUCCCCUUUUUUCUUUUUUCCAAGGAUAUCGUCCGAUUAGCACCGGAUCUUUAUAUGAGUGAUGACAUCGUUGGGGUGGAGGACUUUCUUACUAGGAUAUUGCAGGUUC
This 655-nucleotide long non-coding RNA is filed under the name Carica papaya (papaya). RNAcentral's name for it is "long non-coding RNA (CPAP_LNC002979)". The record is from RNAcentral. Lineage: Eukaryota; Viridiplantae; Streptophyta; Magnoliopsida; Brassicales; Caricaceae.